This 557-nucleotide long non-coding RNA is filed under the name Phoenix dactylifera (date palm). RNAcentral's name for it is "long non-coding RNA (PDAC_LNC007225)". The record is from RNAcentral. Lineage: Eukaryota; Viridiplantae; Streptophyta; Magnoliopsida; Arecales; Arecaceae.
CUCGGACUCAUCAUCCUCUUCAUCGGAUGAGGAACAAGAGGAAAAGGCCAAUUUCUGCUUCAUGGCCAAUGAAAAUGAGGUAACGCUCGAUCGCCUUUAGAUUUUACUUUUGAUGAGCUUUAUGAUGCUUUUAAUGAACUAAUGAUUGAAUAUAAGGCUAUAAAUGUUAAAAACAGAGAAUUAAAAGUAACUAACCAAACUUAUAUCCGUAAGUAUGAUUCAUUAGUUAAGGAUAAGGAUUUAAUCACCAAAGAAAAUAUAGACCUUAAGACAAGCAACCAACUUUUAACUCAAAAGACUAAUACCUUAACUAAGGAUAAUGAAAAACUAACUAAGAAACUUUCAGAACAAACAAAUCUUAAACAAGGAUCUCACAAAAGAACUAAAUGAUCUAAAGGCAGAAAAUCAAACACUAACCAAAGAACUUAACAAAUACAAACCUUUGGUUGAAAAAUUUACAUGUAGUUCUGAAAAGUUAAAUAUGAUACUCAAUAGUCAACGAGCAGUAUUUAAUAAAGCGGGUUUAGGGUAUAAACCAAGAAAUAAAUAAAAACUUC